GACGAACGCUGGCGGCGUGCUUAACACAUGCAAGUCGAGCGAUGAAGUUCCUUCGGGAACGGAUUAGCGGCGGACGGGUGAGUAACACGUGGGUAACCUGCCUCAUAGAGGGGAAUAGCCUUCCGAAAGGAAGAUUAAUACCGCAUAAGAUUGUAGUAUCGCAUGAUACAGCAAUUAAAGGAGCAAUCCGCUAUGAGAUGGACCCGCGUCGCAUUAGCUAGUUGGGAGGGUAACGGCUCACCAAGGCGACGAUGCGUAGCCGACCUGAGAGGGUGAUCGGCCACAUUGGGACUGAGACACGGCCCAGACUCCUACGGGAGGCAGCAGUGGGGAAUAUUGCACAAUGGGGGAAACCCUGAUGCAGCAACGCCGCGUGAGUGAUGAAGGUCUUCGGAUUGUAAAACUCUGUCUUCAGGGACGAUAAUGACGGUACCUGAGGAGGAAGCCACGGCUAACUACGUGCCAGCAGCCGCCGUAA
RNAcentral lists this ribosomal RNA (478 nucleotides) under uncultured bacterium. RNAcentral's name for it is "partial 16S ribosomal RNA". It matches the Rfam family "Bacterial small subunit ribosomal RNA", at positions 28 to 523 of the family's 1533-position model. The record is from RNAcentral.